RNAcentral lists this long non-coding RNA (4648 nucleotides) under Brassica napus (rape). RNAcentral describes it as "long non-coding RNA (BNAP_LNC005862)". The record is from RNAcentral. Lineage: Eukaryota; Viridiplantae; Streptophyta; Magnoliopsida; Brassicales; Brassicaceae.
UUUCAAUAAGAAGUCCUUCUCUUAUUAAUCAAACUCACAACUCACAAAUCACAAUAUCAAAAGUCACACAUAUGCAUCUCAAUAUGCCUCAAUAUAUAUAUGACUAUCUAACUCCUAAUCUUAAUAGGAUUAACACAAAUUCAUAUUUUCCUAAUCCUAAUAGAUAUCCAUAACUAGAUAGGAUUAGGUAGCUUCUUCUUCAAGCUACUUUCAAGCUGGAUCCAACAUUCUCCCGCCUAAGCUUGAACUCACUCUCGCACACGUCAUGAACGCCAACUAGAGUCCUCAUCUCGACAAACUUUGUUCUACCAAGCGACUUGGUAAGUAUGUCAGCUCGUUGCUCAGUUCCUGGAACAUGUUCAACUUCUACUUGAUCAUUUUCAACGCAUUCUCUUAUGAAGUGGAAUCUCCUGUGUAUAUGUUUGCUUCGCCCAUGAAACACCGGAUUUUUUGUCAACGCAAUUGCAGAUUUAUUAUCCACUUUUAUUGUCACCCGUUUGCAGUCUUCACCCAUAACUUCACUAAACAAUUCUUGAAGCCAAAUUGCUUGUUUUGCAGCUUCCGUAGCAGCCAUAAACUCAGCUUCACACGAUGAUAACGCGACAAUCUCUUGUUUCUGUGAGCACCAGGUUAUAGGGCUCUCACCAAGAUAGAACACAUGACCAGUGGUGCUCUUUCCAUCAUCAGCGUCGAGGUUAUGCGAGGCAUCACUAUAGCCUAUUAGCUUUACGUUCUUGCUGGCUUCAAAACGAAGCCCUAGAGAACAAGUUCCACGCAAGUACCUCAAAACUUGUUUCAGAGCUGCAGCAUGAGACUCCUUGGGCUCUGCCAUGUACCUGCUGAGAACUCCCACUGAAUAAGAAAGAUCGGGACGUGUAUGCAACAAAUAUCUCAAGCAUCCAAUGUUCCUUCUGUAUUUCUUUUCAUCGACAUUCUUCUCCUUAGAGGACUUGGACAAACUCACAUUUAUAUCCAUCGGUAUGUGAGUCAAGUUACACGAACUCAUACUGGUUUCCUCAAGUAUUUUCAUUGCAUACUUCUCUUGACUCAAAACUAUGUAUCCUUCACAUUGCUUCACCUCUAUUCCCAAAUAGUAUGUCAAUCUUCCAAGGUCACUCAUCUCAAAGUUCUUUGACAUCUCCUUUUUAAAUUCUAAUAUCAUCGCAAGUGAUGACCCUGUUACUAAUAAAUCAUCAACAUAGACCACAAUAAUCAAUAAUCCUCGCUUUUCUUCCUUCCUGUAUAGAGAGGGCUCCUUUGAACACUUAAGAAAAUUCAAACCGCGCAGGAUAGUAUUGAGUUUUGCAUUCCAUGCCCUUGGUGCUUGUUUUAGGCCAUAAAGUGCCUUCUUUAACUUAUAAACCAUCUUCUCCCUUCCUGCAAUAACAAAUCCUUCGGGUUGUGUAACAAACACUUCUUCUUUUAAAUCUCCAUGAAGAAAGGCUGUUUUCACAUCAAGAUGAUGAACCUCCCAAUUCCUUGCAGCUGCAAGUGCAAUGAUCAAACGUAUGGUUUCAAUUCGUGCUACUGGCGCAAAGACUUCGUCAUAGUCUAUACCAUGCUUCUGAACAUACCCUUUAGCCACCAACCGUGCCUUGUAUUUGAUGACACUUCCAUCAGCGUUACGUUUUAUCUUGAAAACCCACUUAAGGCCUAUAGGUUUUACUCCAGACGGCACUUCAACCAGGUCCCAUGUGUGGUUUGCUUCAAUAGAAGCUAUUUCAUCUUUGCACGCAUCGAUCCAGACUUCCAAUUCCUUAGCUUCUGUAAAAUCCCAUGGCUCUUCAUUGAUCAUCAUUAGUAACUGCUCACACUCUGUUUCCGCAAGUAGUAUAUAGUCAUUAAGAUAGGUUGGUGUUGUAGUUGAUCUCGUUGAUCUUCGCAACUGUGGCUGCACGUCUUCACCAUCUUCUUCUUCAUUACUUUUAUCAGAAUAAGCUUCUCCGGUAGCUGGGAUCUCGUUCGUAGCUUCACCAGCUUCACUCGGCUCAUCGUUCGAUCCCUUUAUCAUCACAGAGAACUCCUCUGUUUCAUCGUUUACCGUCUUAUCCCAGUUCCAUUCUUUCUCUUCCAAGAAACAAACGUCACGACUGACCACUAUACGCUUGCUUGUGGUAUCAAGAAGCCGGUAAGCCUUGGUUCCAGGUUCAGUUCCGAGGUGUACUAGUGCUCUCGACCUGUCAUCAAGUUUCUUUCUUCCUAUCGUAUCAGUCCUCGCAUAGCAGACGCAUCCGAAUACUCUAAGAUGGCUGAGGUUUGGCUUCCGUGAUUUAAGCACUUCGUAUGGUGUUUUUCCGUCCAAAGACCUCGUUGCUACCCUGUUGAUCAGGUAGGUAGCAUGUCUUACAGCUUCUCCCCAUAGAUAGUUUGGUAGAUUCAUGUGUUUCAAGAUACUUCUUGUCAUCUCCAAGAGAGUUCGGUUUCGCCUUUCAACCACUCCAUUCUGUUGAGGUGAAUAGGGUGCCGUUAAAUGUCUGUUGAUGCCAUGUUUAUCACAGUAAUGUUGAAACUCAUGUGAUGUGAACUCUCCCCCUCUAUCCGUUCUGAAAGUUUUGAUUUCUGUCUGAGUUUCUUGCGUAACAAUCUUCCUGAAAUUUUUGAAUUUCUCAAAUGAUUCACUUUUCUCCUUUAGCAGCACUGUCCACAUAUAGCGUGAGUAGUCGUCGAUAAGAACAAACACAUAACGCUUCUUGGCCGGUGUAGACGGUGUGAUCGGUCCGCAUAGAUCACCAUGGACGAGUUCUAGAGGUUUUGAAGCUCGAUAUGUCGUUGAUUUUGGGAAUGAAGAUCGAGCUUGUUUCCCGCGUAGGCACGUCGUACAGGUCUCUUUGUCGAUGCUCAGCUUGGGAAUACCUAGGACCAGUUCCUUGUUGAUCAUUAGCUUCAUCGACUCUAUGUUGACAUGUCCGAGACGUGCGUGCCACGUAGACGAGACACUGGUUAUUACUUGCAGACAACGGACCUGUUCAGCGUGUAAGGUCACUUUGUAGAGACGGUUGCUUGAUCUUGUAGUCUUCAACAUCAACUCUCCUGAUCGAUCAAACAACGAGAGAGUAUUGUCUCGCAUACAAACUUCACAGCCAGCCUCAGUCGCUUGUCCUAAACUAACGAUAUUACUCUUUAAGUUUGGUAUGUAAUAUACGUUGUGAAGGAUUUUCUUCUCUCCACCUCGGAAUGUAAAACGUAUGGAGCCUCUUCCUACUAUAUUGAUCCGCGAGUCAUCUCCAAAUCUUACUUGGCCAGUAAUGCUUUCAUCAAGGUCUUGAAAGAAUAGUCGGUUCCCACUCAUGUGAUUGCUUGCGCCAUUGUCGAGAUACCACGUGUUCUCCAGGUUAGUCUCAAAACUCUUUGGAUUUACUUUCCUUUCAUUUAGAUAUACUACUUCAUUCAUCAUCAAUUCAUCAGCCUCAUGUGUAUCAUCUUCCUUCUUCUCAAUGGCUUCUUGGAGUUUCAACUCCUUGUCUGGACAUUCUGAUGCGUAAUGACCAAGUUUAUCGCACUUGAAACAUGUAAUAUGAGAGAUGUCUCUGUUCUGUCCCUGUCCUUGUUUGUACGCCUCUCUCUGUCUCUCAAAGUUACUGGAACGACCGCGACCUCGUCCUCUCCAUGAUGACCGUCCACCACGUCCUCUACCACGAUUGUUUCCAUAAUUGUUGUUGUAACCUUCAUAGUUUGAUCCUGAGUUAGCCGCAUACAUUAAUUUUUCUUGAUCAUCAAGUUUUUCUUCUUCCUCCGCGCAUACUCUUUCUUCAUAGGCCUUUAACCUGCCUACUAUGUCUUCGAAACUUGUAGUGUUCAGGUCAAGGACUUGCUCGAGGGAAGCAACAAUCUGGAUAUAUUUAUUCCUUGGCAAACUUUUAAGAAAUUUCUUUACAAGUUUUGGUUCUUCUAGGAUCUCUCCCAAUGAUGCUGAUUUUGAUGAUAUCUCAGAUAAUUUUCCAGCAAACAUAUCGAUAGUGUCAUCAUCUUUCAUCUUAAUUCUAUCAAAUUCAGCCAUUAGAGUUUGUAGUCUAGCUUCUCUUACUCUUUCAGCCCCAACAUGUCUUGAUUUUAUUGCAUCCCAUACUCCUUUUGCUGUAUCAAUCUCCCCAACUUGUAAAAUUAGAGCUUCUGGUAUGGAUUGGAACAGAAACGCGAUUGCCAUAUUAUUUUUCUUCUCAUCUUUAGCUCCAGGAUCUAUUGUUUCCCAGACCUCACUAACCUUAAGAGCUAUCUUCAUUCUCAUGGCCCAUACAGUGUAAUUUGAAGAAGUUAGCAUAGGAAAUUUAAUGGAGGCAGGGCCGUUCUCUUUGUUGAUCACUCCGGGUACGUCUUCUUUGCUUUCUGCCAUGGUUGCUGUCGUAGUAUCACAGUCGGAUGAUUUAAUCGGAUGGUUUUAUAUAAGGCUCUGAUACCAAAAUAUAGAAGCACACAAUCAAAGCUUUCAAUAAGAAGUCCUUCUCUUAUUAAUCAAACUCACAACUCACAAAUCACAAUAUCAAAAGUCACACAUAUGCAUCUCAAUAUGCCUCAAUAUAUAUAUGACUAUCUAACUCCUAAUCUUAAUAGGAUUAACACAAAUUCAUAUUUUCCUAAUCCUAAUAGAUAUCCAUAACUAGAUAGGAUUAGGUAGCUUCUUCUUCAAGCUACUUUCAAGCUGGAUCCAACA